GUGAGGAAUAUUGGUCAAUGGGCGGGAGCCUGAACCAGCCAAGUAGCGUGAAGGAUGACUGCCCUACGGGUUGUAAACUUCUUUUGUUUGGGAAUAAAAGACGCUACGUGUAGCGUUGUGCAUGUACCUUACGAAUAAGCAUCGGCUAAUUCCGUGCCAGCAGCCGCGGUAAUACGGAAGAUGCGAGCGUUAUCCGGAUUUAUUGGGUUUAAAGGGAGCGUAGGCGGGCUGUUAAGUCAGCGGUAAAAUGUCAAGGCCCAACCUUGUCCUGCCGUUGAAACUGGCGGUCUUGAAUGCACACAAGGGAGAUGGAAUUCGUCGUGUAGCGGUGAAAUGCUUAGAUAUGACGAAGAACUCCGAUUGCGAAGGCAGUCUCCUGGGGUGUAAUUGACGCUGAGGCUCGAAAGUGCGGGUAUCAAACAGGAUUAGAUACCCCGGUAGUCC
RNAcentral lists this ribosomal RNA (444 nucleotides) under uncultured Prevotellaceae bacterium. RNAcentral's name for it is "bacterial SSU rRNA". It matches the Rfam family "Bacterial small subunit ribosomal RNA", at positions 354 to 796 of the family's 1533-position model. Lineage: Bacteria; Pseudomonadati; Bacteroidota; Bacteroidia; Bacteroidales; Prevotellaceae. The record is from RNAcentral.